Molecule: non-coding RNA, 934 nt
Filed under: Lutraria maxima
Lineage: Eukaryota; Metazoa; Mollusca; Bivalvia; Venerida; Mactridae
Source: RNAcentral
UUGCUAUUUGCCUUUGGUAGUAAGUUGCUUAGAUCUUUAGUUAUACAUGAAAUUGAAAGAAUAGAGGGAGUACCCCAUGAAGUUGUUGCAGGUUUUAAUAGUCUAGAGGCAUUUUAGAAAUUUGGGAAGUCAGUGAAGUUUGUUUUCGGCUUAUAAUGGAUAGUUGUGACCCCGUCUUCAGUAUUUGAAAUUGUAGUUAUUAUGGGAACAUAGACUCAGUAAUUGAUUGUUAGGAGGGAUUAAUAAGGUGCCAGCAUUCGCGGUUAAACCUUGCCUUCGGGGCAACUAGUUUGUAGGAAAGUAAAUGAUAAUAAUAAGAUAAAAUCGACUAAGUCAACCCGAAAGGGAAAAGAUGGUUAAAUAUUUUUGAUUAGGUUAAUUUAAGUUCUUUUAAACUAAAACCUUAGAAGGCUGUUAAUGAGACAAGGAUUCGAUACCCUUUUAUUAAAGCUGUAAUGUUUAUCCUACGAGAAUUACGAGCUAUUAAAGCUUAAAACUCUAAAAGGUUGGCGGCAUCUUAUAACCAUUUAGGGGAACUUGGCGUUUAAACCGAUGAUCCUCGUAUACUUUACCUUUAUUUAGUUUUUCAUACCGCCGUUGAGAGUUCCUCUUGAAAAGAAUAGAUUGGUGCGUCAAACAAUAACGAUGAGGUCUGAUUAUUUCAGGUUGUCGGCCUAUAGUAAGCGAGGUUUGUUUAUAUUAGGGUUUGUUAUAAUUCAGGUAGACGUGAAGAAAUAUAGAGGGAUUAGCUGAGUUACAUUUGUUUUACAUAUUGGAUGCAACUAGAAUAGUUAGCUGAAAGUGUACUUGUUAGUAAUCUUUUUUAAUGGAGGAAAGUUGAAUUGGGUAAUUAAGUUGCGUACAAACCGCCCGGCACCCUCAAGUAAGGUUGAGGUAAGUCGUAACAUGGUAAUGCUACUAGAAAGUGGUGUUG